This 9087-nucleotide long non-coding RNA is filed under the name Zea mays. Its description in RNAcentral is "long non-coding RNA (ZMAY_LNC002754)". Lineage: Eukaryota; Viridiplantae; Streptophyta; Magnoliopsida; Poales; Poaceae. The record is from RNAcentral.
GGGGGCAACAGGGUAUAAACAUAUAUCAUGACAAAAACAUACUAAGUAUUAUUAAUUGGCUAGCAAGGAAAGAUAAACGUACGACCGAAACUGAAUUAACCAGUGCGCACGACUAUAUAAAAAACAAACUUCCUUUGACAAUAAGUUUCUAAUUAAAACAUGGCUGCGCCUAGGCAGCGUUAUUGUGAGAGUGUAAGUGGACGUGCUGCUACUCCCCUCAUUCCCAACAUGUAUCAAGUACCUGCAUUGAGUAAUGCAAGAGUGAGAUGACACAUCUCAGCAAGUAAAAUAAUAUCAAACUAUUCAACCACAUAAGAACAUUGUUUUACCACCACCUGAUUCCACAACCUUCUUAUUACCAAGGUGCAUCACGUAUACAACGUACAACACACCUAGUUACCACACCUCGCAGGUAGAAAACCACAAUAGUAACAUAGUAAUGUCACACUUCAUAUAUUCCUCAUGAAUGCAAAUGUCUGCAAAUGCAAGGAUGACUUCUGCCUUCAUACCUCUAAGGAUAUGAAGCUGCAUCGUACCCCUCCUCGGGCAACGUACGAUGCUAAAAAUGUACCGGUACGGUCGGACCAUAAGAUCACGACAUAACUUCAAAAUGCAAGAUGGAUGAUGUGAUGUGCAUGUCAUGCCUACAACACUUCAUAUAACGUGAUUCAAAAAGAUACUUCAACUUCAUCUAAGAUGGGAAUCAACCACAUAUAUCAUAACCAAAUUAUGAUCAUCCACAAUAUUAGACAAUUGAGAAUUAAUACUUCCAAACAAAUAAACUUCAUCAUAGAAUUCAAUGAUUAACAUAAUUAAAAACUUAAGCAUACUCAAUGACAGGGAAUAGGAUGCAAACCAAACGGUAGCAACCACCACUAUAUUUACUUGCCUUUACCGGAAGUUCGGGCAAAUCCAUAAGUACGAUCCGGAAGUCCACCACCUGUUUUUGACAUACAACUUAGUGCACCUAUUUCACAUAAUCAGGCUCAUAAACGACGCCGCACCUACGCACAAACUUAAACCCCGCCGCGGGUUACAUCUCUCCCCACACCCACCAAACUGCAGCGGCGCUGCUUAAUAAUUUCAUAACCUUAAAAUUAUGACAACAGUGGUAACAAACAAAAACUCCAGAGGCAUCUACAUAAAAUUCCCCACAAGUUUUGUAUACAAUUUAUAAUUAAAUUCUAACAUCUAAUUAGCCUAAAACAGUCCACAAGAUGAACCCUGUAAUCUGUUUUUUUGUCUUUUGGACAGCGACAUACCCGGAUUCAAACAGCGAUAUCUUUUAAAAUAUAAUUCCAAAUCAAGCGCAUAAGUACUCAUUAGAAAGAUAAGACAAAGCCCUACAUGAUUAUCAUACUGGUUAACAGUAAUUACCCACGAAAAAUUCACAGAAACUGCUAAUACUACUGUUGUUCAUCCACCUGAAAAUCUGUUUUUUGGACAGCAACAUAACCGGAUUCAAACAACGAUAUCUCCUAAAUUAUAACUCCGAGUCGAGCGCAUAAGUACUCGUUGGAAAGGUAUGACAAAGCUCUACAUGAUUCUCAUAUUGAUUAUCACUAAUUUCCCACGAAAAAUCCCCAGAAACUGCUAAUACUACUGCUGUUCAUCCACCUGAAAAUCUGUUUUUUUGGACAGCAACAUAACCGGAUUCAAACAACGAUAUCUCCUAAAUUAUAACUCCAAAUCGAGCGCAUAAGUACUCGUUGGAAAGGUAUGACAAAGCUCUACAUGAUUCUCCCACUGAUCCCCACUAAUUGCCCACGAAAAAUUCCCAGAAACUGCUAAUACUACUGCUGUUCAUCCACCUGAAAAUCUGUUUUUUUUGGACAGCAACAUAACCGGAUUCAAACAACGAUAUCUCCUAAAUUAUAACUCCAAAUCGAGCGCAUAAGUACUCGUUGGAAAGGUAUGACAAAGCUCUACAUGAUUCUCCCACUGAUCCCCACUAAUUGCCCACGAAAAAUUCCCAGAAACCCCUAGAACUACUGCUGUUCAUCCUCCCACAAAAAAUCUGGACAGCACCUAUACCGAUUCGCAUAGGUAAACAUGUAAACAAUUGGAUUGCAGCACAAAUACUAAAAAGAAUGAUCUUAAAAUCACCUUGGGUUCCUCCUUUCCUCCUUCCAUUCUUCCUUCUUCCUCCCUCCAAACUCCAAUGGAAGACUCACACCCACACGACGGGGUACCAAGCGGGGAGGAUGCACCAUGGAGAGGAGGGGGCGGCUAGGGUUGAGGGGGGGGGGGUGCUGCAAUCACUUGGGGGGGGGGAGAAGGAGAGGGAGAGAGAGAGGGGGGGUGUGGCGGCCACAAAGGGGAAUAGGCAAGGGGGGCGGCUAGGGUUAAGGGGGAGAACUAAUGGGCUCCCCACCGCCGGAUCGAGAUCCACGGCCCAAACUCGCUCUCACGACCGUUUCCGAUCCCAGGGCACCAGUCCAACAAGAAUUAUACUGUUUUACUAGUGAAUGCUUCCUAAAAGUUCCAAACCCCUGUUGCACAGGACCCGAAAGAGAAAACAAGGGAAAAAAAGAAUAAUCUUCAAUUUCUCUUCCUUUUGGAAAUUGGGUAUCACACUCUACCCUCCUUAAAAAGAAUUCGACCUCGAAUUCCGACGCUUCUAUCGGAAUGACGAAAGAAAGAUUAAUGAAUCAACAAAACUCACACAUAACGAAAAGUUCGGGUACUUUUGCCGCAUCAGCUCCUCAAGUUCCUAGGAUUCUAAGAUACGCAGCAGACGACACUCAAGAGUCUGGUCUUGCUACACGGGAAUCGGCUCUAGCUCGAUUAGAUGGUCUGGAUUCCACAAAUACUUCCUCAACAUAAAUACAUGGAAUACAUGGUGUACUCUGAUCAUAGAUUCCGACAAUUGCAAGUGAUAAGCCCAGCUGCCACCUCGGCUAAGAUAGUAGACGGUCCUAUAUACCUCGGACAAAGCUUUCUAGACACCAAAUCAAUAUUGACAUAUGCAAGUACUUCAAUGAAUGUAUAUAUUAAUGCAAUUCAUAUAGUGUUCCUAUAGCCUAAACAAAACUUAGCUAAACAAGAGCAACUUCAAGAGAGCAACUUAAUGCUUGCAUAUUUCUAGGCAACAACACAGCGGUUAAUUAUUUUGCUCCUAACUCACAAAAUAUGCAUCGAAAAUUAGUAAACUAGGACUUUAUGGAAAGCUUAUAAAGUCCACUAUACCCUUGGUAUUAUCAUCACAACAAGAUUUGACACUUAUAAAGGUCAAACAAUGCUAAACGUAAAUUCUGUCCAGACUUGGACAUAAUUCAACUACUCAAUUCAAAAAUCCAUAAUUGGAGUCUCAAUCAUCCAAUCCAGGUGCUCCCAGACUUUUUAGAAAGCUAGUAGAAUUGUCUAUAAUUCAUUUAUAAACAUAUCAAGUUAAUUCAAUGCAUAUCAAGGUCAAAAGACACGAGAAAGGCUCUGCUGUCCAAAUUUGGACAGAUUCAGAGAUCACACUUAAAACAGCUGUAACUUAACUUAUAGAUCUCCAAAAAAAGUAAUCCAAAAUUUGUUGAAAAGAUUAAGAAAAGUACUACAACUUCUUUAUAAUUUAUAAUAAGUUAUUCGAAGUUUAAAUUGGGCAAACAAGGUCAGCUUCAAAAUAUGUACAGAAUCUGCACAGAUUUCAAGACUGGACUUGAGAAAAUCAUAACUCCCAAACUUCUAGACCUAUGGUCAUGAAAUUUUUACACAAGUAAGAUAAAGAAGUUGGCUACAACUUUUACAUAUAACAUCUCUACAGAAAAGAUGGUUUACUUCAUUGAACUAGCUGCAUAACUAAAACUGGUCAUGCAAUCCCAACAACAAGCAAUAGAUUUUAUCAGGUUCAUUACUCUUCUAAGAUUAAGUGGUCAUUGAAAGACUAAUAACUUUAGGUUCUUCAUUACGAGACACCUAGAACAAAUAUAAGUAUAGAAGCAAUAUGAUAACUUUUUAAAUCAUUUAAGCCUAAUCUCACAUCAUGCAAACAAGAAUCAAUUUAAGCAUGUUAUGUCUGCCCACAUAUUCAUCCAAGCACAUUCUAUACAUUAUAUCAUAACUCCCUGCAGCUAACAAAAUUUUGCAAAUAUAAACUCAUUGAAAAGAUUAUAACAUUCCCUAGAACUCUUAUUAUAAUGAGUGUCUUGGAAUUGGUUUCCAAACCGAUAAAACAAUGCAACUCUUUUGUUGCAAAACUGAUAGGAUUGAAACAAUGGACAACUAAAAUUCAAAAACUUAUAACUCCUGCUAUACUCAACUUAAACUACAACGAACACGCGUUGGAAAAGUUUUGAAAAUUGUCCACGACUUUUGCAAUAAAGUUGCACCCAAAUUUAUCCUUAUAGCCCUCAACUCUGCAUGACCUACAGCUAAACUCAGCCUGAGAUACUGCACAUUAGAGAUUCGACUUAUAUCCGGGCAACCACCUCUCCAAAUCUAUUUAACAGACAGUUACAAGUAAAUACCCAUUAAAAGGGUACUGAAAAUACCUACAAGUUUUGCUUAAAGAGAAUUCGCAAAUUUGUGCUCCGCAACUAUCAAAACGCGGUCACUUUAUUGGUGAUUAUAACGACGCCUAAAGUUCAGACACAACAGUGCAACAACUUCAGAGCAACCUAACUCCAAUUAUAUGCAAUGAGAAUUAGAAACCCAUACUCUUUGAAAAGAUCAUGAAAUUACUAAAACUUUCAUAAUCCACAAAGACCAAAUUAUACUGUCUUCAAUGUCUACUCUUCCGUACAAAAUUAAAGACUCACUCUGCUAGAGACACCAACAAAGAUGUUUUAAGAAACCCAUAUCUCUCAAAUGUUUAGACCAAACAUGGUGAUUAAGCAUCCUGGAAAGAUGCAGAAACAUACUACAAAACAUUCUAGAUAAGUGAAGCCUGAUUCAGCCUCCAACUAAUUUAAAAUGCCUCCCAAAACCAAACAACACAUUAUCAACAAUAAUAAAAAAACAAUAUAAAAUGAAACCCAAGUCAUUGGCAGGUGCCAUCAACACUAGGAUUUUCCACUACCAAACUGGGAUGCAACUCCACAAAGUCUUUAAAUAACACUCUACCAAAUAGGUUAGAACACUAAGCACAACAAUCAAUGAAUUCAACAACCUCGUUUGUUAAUGCCACUAAGGUCAAACAUCCAUGUACCGACAAUGUAUGAAACACCUGACAUACCCGUCUCUAGCUCUAUAAAACAUGGUUGUUAUUACACUAGAAUCCAACUACUAGAAAUCUCCAAAACCAUUCUGUUGACGUGAAGCAAAUGGUGCUCAUGUCAUAUAACAUCUUUUCCCCCUCUCAAAAGAGAUAAAAUUUGCAAUACUCAUAAAGCAAUGGAGGGAUAACAACAAGAAAAAAAAACUAAUGUACUUCUUGACACAGACUCAUGCAAAAGCUUCAUAAAUAUUACUUUCAACACUAAAAUAAUAACACGAUACUAUGCUCAACAGGAGUAAUUGGACUUCAAUAAGAUAAUCCACCUAACCCAACUACUUUGAUUAACCUCACAUACAACAAUACCUCCUAUUAUUGCACUUGAACAAUUUGUACCUAGUGAUGUCAUAGGAUGACUUCAAAGUAGUAGACAUACAUGAUCUAUCAAACCAUCCUUCAUAUAAAAAAAAAUCUCCAUCUGAUGCAACAACCACAUCAUUAUAGAGAUAGAGGACUAACAAACAUAAGCAACUUCCAGUUAAACAUUGACUUUGUUUAAGAUAAAGCGGUCCAAAUAAUAAUUCAACAAGCAUGCAUAGAGAACUGAUCAUAUAAAAAAAACUACCAUAUAUCAUCGGCGAUUAAAAACAAUAUAAAACGGGUUGUCCAUAUCGUCCACAUGACUAGCCUCCAACAAAUAAAAAUUAUGCAUAACCUUUUUGGCUAUAGAAACAAACCAUAGAAGGAAAACAUGCAUGCCUCUUCAACUAUAAUAUAGACAUAAAAUCCACUUGAAAUCACCCUAUUUAUUAUUAAAGAUAAGGUUGCACACAAUAAGAAAACUUAUCAUGUAAACAUGGUUGAACUUAUCUAUCCACGUCAUCUUACAAAUUCACUUGAGUUCUACCAGCCUCAAGAUUUCAUAGACAGUCCAACAUUGCCUUUGCUCUAUGGAGACAAACCUAUUGUACUCUAAGAUCAAGUUGGCAAGUAGCCACACUAGCCAAAAAAAGGUGAGGUGUAAAGCACUGCACCCAUGGAAAUAUUACAUUGAUUAGUUGGGUUGUAACCCAACAGUCAAUCAAACUCAACAACACCAUAAAACUACAUUGUAUAGUGUUUUCACACUACACCAAGUCGGAAUAGAUCCUUUAUACACAAGCUCAAUAAACAAUCGGUCCUAUAAGUACUAGAACCCAAGAAUCCUUUUGGAAAAAAAACAUCCACAGUCAAGCAUACAGAAAUGUAUGAUAGUAAUAGCUCAGAGAUUAGUAAACAUUGCAUCCAAAAACAACAUUAUGACGAUAUGUAUAUAAAACAAGUACAUUAGUAGCUUAACUUGCAUAAUAAUUUCAAUAACAACCACAUCAAGAAACCAAUAUUAAAUAGUAGUAACAUUUCAUAUCAAGCAUUACGUCGUUAACGACAUACCUCAUCAAACCAUAAAGGGGUUUGGAGUCAGGAAAUUCUAGUCAUCUAUACAAUAAAAUACUAAUAUGAAAGAUAUAUGAACCCAUAUCCUUCCUAUAUGUGCAAGUGUGUCAAAUUUAUCUUCAAAUUGCGUAGAAUCUAAAGCCUAUCCUUUGAUACCAACUGUAACACCCCGGGUUCCACAAACAACCCAGAAUGCUACUGAACUACACUUCUGACGUCCAUAUAUAAAAUUUCGACAGCAUCCCCUUUGCAAGAUUGCAUAAAUAAGGGGGGGCAACAGGGUAUAAACAUAUAUCAUGACAAAAACAUACUAAGUAUUAUUAAUUGGCUAGCAAGGAAAGAUAAACGUACGACCGAAACUGAAUUAACCAGUGCGCACGACUAUAUAAAAAACAAACUUCCUUUGACAAUAAGUUUCUAAUUAAAACAUGGCUGCGCCUAGGCAGCGUUAUUGUGAGAGUGUAAGUGGACGUGCUGCUACUCCCCUCAUUCCCAACAUGUAUCAAGUACCUGCAUUGAGUAAUGCAAGAGUGAGAUGACACAUCUCAGCAAGUAAAAUAAUAUCAAACUAUUCAACCACAUAAGAACAUUGUUUUACCACCACCUGAUUCCACAACCUUCUUAUUACCAAGGUGCAUCACGUAUACAACGUACAACACACCUAGUUACCACACCUCGCAGGUAGAAAACCACAAUAGUAACAUAGUAAUGUCACACUUCAUAUAUUCCUCAUGAAUGCAAAUGUCUGCAAAUGCAAGGAUGACUUCUGCCUUCAUACCUCUAAGGAUAUGAAGCUGCAUCGUACCCCUCCUCGGGCAACGUACGAUGCUAAAAAUGUACCGGUACGGUCGGACCAUAAGAUCACGACAUAACUUCAAAAUGCAAGAUGGAUGAUGCGAUGUGCAUGUCAUGCCUACAACACUUCAUAUAACGUGAUUCAAAAAGAUACUUCAACUUCAUCUAAGAUGGGAAUCAACCACAUAUAUCAUAACCAAAUUAUGAUCAUCCACAAUAUUAGACAAUUGAGAAUUAAUACUUCCAAACAAAUAAACUUCAUCAUAGAAUUCAAUGAUUAACAUAAUUAAAAACUUAAGCAUACUCAAUGACAGGGAAUAGGAUGCAAACCAAACGGUAGCAACCACCACUAUAUUUACUUGCCUUUACCGGAAGUUCAGGCAAAUCCCUAAGUACGAUCCGGAAGUCCACCACCUGUUUUUGACAUACAACUUAGUGCACCUAUUUCACAUAAUCAGGCUCAUAGACGACGCCGCACCUACGCACAAACUUAAACCCCGCCGCGGGUUACAUCUCUCCCCACACCCACCAAACUGCAGCGGCGCUGCUUAAUAAUUUCAUAACCUUAAAAUUAUGACAACAGUGGUAACAAACAAAAACUCCAGAGGCAUCUACAUAAAAUUCCCCACAAGUUUUGUAUACAAUUUAUAAUUAAAUUCUAACAUCUAAUUAGCCCAAAACAGUCCACAAGAUGAACCCUGUAAUCUGUUUUUUUGUCUUUUGGACAGCGACAUACCCGGAUUCAAACAGCGAUAUCUUUUAAAAUAUAAUUCCAAAUCAAGCGCAUAAGUACUCAUUAGAAAGAUAAGACAAAGCCCUACAUGAUUAUCAUACUGGUUAACAGUAAUUACCCACGAAAAAUUCACAGAAACUGCUAAUACUACUGUUGUUCAUCCACCUGAAAAUCUGUUUUUUGGACAGCAACAUAACCGGAUUCAAACAACGAUAUCUCCUAAAUUAUAACUCCGAAUCGAGCGCAUAAGUACUCGUUGGAAAGGUAUGACAAAGCUCUACAUGAUUCUCAUAUUGAUUAUCACUAAUUUCCCACGAAAAAUCCCCAGAAACUGCUAAUACUACUGCUGUUCAUCCACCUGAAAAUCUGUUUUUUUGGACAGCAACAUAACCGGAUUCAAACAACGAUAUCUCCUAAAUUAUAACUCCAAAUCGAGCGCAUAAGUACUCGUUGGAAAGGUAUGACAAAGCUCUACAUGAUUCUCCCACUGAUCCCCACUAAUUGCCCACGAAAAAUUCCCAGAAACUGCUAAUACUACUGCUGUUCAUCCACCUGAAAAUCUGUUUUUUUUGGACAGCAACAUAACCGGAUUCAAACAACGAUAUCUCCUAAAUUAUAACUCCAAAUCGAGCGCAUAAGUACUCGUUGGAAAGGUAUGACAAAGCUCUACAUGAUUCUCCCACUGAUCCCCACUAAUUGCCCACGAAAAAUUCCCAGAAACCCCUAGAACUACUGCUGUUCAUCCUCCCACAAAAAAUCUGGACAGCACCUAUACCGAUUCGCAUAGGUAAACAUGUAAACAAUUGGAUUGCAGCACAAAUACUAAAAAGAAUGAUCUUAAAAUCACCUUGGGUUCCUCCUUUCCUCCUUCCAUUCUUCCUUCUUCCUCCCUCCAAACUCCAAUGGAAGACUCACACCCACACGACGGGGUACCAAGCGGGGAGGAUGCACCAUGGAGAGGAGGGGGCGGCUAGGGUUGAGG